CCAAAAUAACAAGUCACAGGAUGCCUGUCUAGAGGGUAGCUUUGCUGAAAAUAACCUGGAGACUGAACAGAAGUCAGCAGUGUGUCCUUGUGCAUUAGAAGAUAACUCUGUGCUGAGCCAAGGGCAUGCUGGACAUUAAUGAUUCUUCCUCAUUGUUCAGUUAUUGUGAGAGCAUUAUCUGGAGAACUCUGUGAAGUGUUAGUUCCCCAGUACAAGAAAGUCAUUGACAUGCUGGAGCAAGCUGGUGCAAGGAAGAUGGUCAAACAGAGGAAAACUCACCCAGGAAGGAGGCUCUGCCCUUCAAGAUAUUCAGUACAUAAUUGGGAAACCACCUGGAAGUUCCUCUCUUCAAGAUGUCCUGUCAUUCCAAAGGCAAACAGGGACAACCACUUAAUUAACAGCAAUUUUGGUUCGUCUAUGAAUUCUAAAUCUCAAAAUCACUGUAAGCCAUGGUGUGGAGGAAGUGAUGUGCUGCUUCUCCCUCUGUAGAGCAAGGUGUUCCUGUCAAAAUCACAGCUUCAUCAUGAGGGCUUAUGCUUAAAACCAUUGGAUGCUGCACUGGAUUUCAAGAUUCUCCUCUUCAAGAUCACCUACUUUGCACAGCCUUAUUCUGUAAAAAGAAAAAGAGAGCAAGAGACAGAGAGGAAUGUGCCCAGGACUCUGUGGUACCCAGGUCAGACAAGCCCAAAAAUCUCUUCCCGGGCUCUGCUCCAAUGAAUAUUUAAUCAUUCUAUGCAGAGUGUGAAAGAUGGCACGAGAAAGAUUUAGGCUUCCAGCCUAGAAAAAUCUGGCACCUUCUUAUAAUGUGGUAAAUACUGGGCAAUGAAAGGCUUUGAAGCCAGGUCUCCUCUCUCCCAGAGGUGUGUUUCAAUUGCAAGGCUCCUGAAGAAAAGCAGAGUUCCUCUUCUUUGCCUUCGUCAUCCUGUAGAGAGAAAAUAAAGAGGCUAAGUUUGCCUCACUGGAGCCAGAGAACAAGCUAAGUGUUCUUCUGUCUAUCCUGUGAAUCCUGAUGGGAUUUUAGCUAGAACUGAAAAUCCCCAGAGUUCAGGCUCUCGGGAUAUGUGCUGAGCAAAAUAUUACGGUGCUUAUGGUGCUUAAGUCACAGCUUACAGUGACUAAAGACUUAACCUGUGGAAACUUUGGAGUACUUUGAUAUGAUAUUUGCUAACUGUAUCAACUCUGUUGUUUGGAGGAAAUACCUUUUUGUACACUCCCAGUGGAACACUAACAAACUUUGAUCCUUCUGCAACUUUCUGUUUAUGGCAUAUUCAGGUAAUUCAAUUUCUGCUCAUUUUCUGUUCAUUCAUUCAAAAAAAAAAAAAAAAGUCUGUUAAAAUUCUUUUUGCUGACUAAUUACUAGAUCAAAGAAGGCCUGUUUACAAAAUGGAAAGCUUCCCAAAAAACAUUUUUGUUAGGGUUAAUGCAUGUAUGCAUUUUGAACAAAUAAUUUUAAAUUUUGGACAGCAUACUCAGAUUUUUGUUGUCCCAUUUUGUAAUAGAAUUUGAUUAAUUGUCUAAGAUAGUAUUUUUCUAAAUUAAGUAGAUUUUUUGUAGAAUCAUAUUGUUAAAACUGGGGAAAAGACUAAAAUUUGCAUCUUUUUUUUUUUUUUUUUUUUUUACCUAAACACAACAGGUGACUGUGAGAAUGCAAAGGGAGUUAAUAGGCAUGCAUAUUCAUGUUUUAGCUUUUUGAAAAAUAAGGUAUUGUUGUUAUACUCUGAAGUUUGGUGGC
This is a long non-coding RNA of Gallus gallus (chicken), 1732 nucleotides long. The record is from Ensembl. Lineage: Eukaryota; Metazoa; Chordata; Aves; Galliformes; Phasianidae.